AGAGUUUGAUCAUGGCUCAGAUUGAACGCUGGCGGCAGGCCUAACACAUGCAAGUCGAGCGGUAGCACAGAGAGCUUGCUCUCGGGUGACGAGCGGCGGACGGGUGAGUAAUGUCUGGGAAACUGCCUGAUGGAGGGGGAUAACUACUGGAAACGGUAGCUAAUACCGCAUAACGUCGCAAGACCAAAGUGGGGGACCUUCGGGCCUCAUGCCAUCAGAUGUGCCCAGAUGGGAUUAGCUAGUAGGUGGGGUAACGGCUCACCUAGGCGACGAUCCCUAGCUGGUCUGAGAGGAUGACCAGCCACACUGGAACUGAGACACGGUCCAGACUCCUACGGGAGGCAGCAGUGGGGAAUAUUGCACAAUGGGCGCAAGCCUGAUGCAGCCAUGCCGCGUGUGUGAAGAAGGCCUUCGGGUUGUAAAGCACUUUCAGCGGGGAGGAAGGCGGUGAGGUUAAUAACCUCACCGAUUGACGUUACCCGCAGAAGAAGCACCGGCUAACUCCGUGCCAGCAGCCGCGGUAAUACGGAGGGUGCAAGCGUUAAUCGGAAUUACUGGGCGUAAAGCGCACGCAGGCGGUCUGUCAAGUCGGAUGUGAAAUCCCCGGGCUCAACCUGGGAACUGCAUUCGAAACUGGCAGGCUAGAGUCUUGUAGAGGGGGGUAGAAUUCCAGGUGUAGCGGUGAAAUGCGUAGAGAUCUGGAGGAAUACCGGUGGCGAAGGCGGCCCCCUGGACAAAGACUGACGCUCAGGUGCGAAAGCGUGGGGAGCAAACAGGAUUAGAUACCCUGGUAGUCCACGCCGUAAACGAUGUCGAUUUGGAGGUUGUGCCCUUGAGGCGUGGCUUCCGGAGCUAACGCGUUAAAUCGACCGCCUGGGGAGUACGGCCGCAAGGUUAAAACUCAAAUGAAUUGACGGGGGCCCGCACAAGCGGUGGAGCAUGUGGUUUAAUUCGAUGCAACGCGAAGAACCUUACCUGGUCUUGACAUCCACAGAACUUUCCAGAGAUGGAUUGGUGCCUUCGGGAACUGUGAGACAGGUGCUGCAUGGCUGUCGUCAGCUCGUGUUGUGAAAUGUUGGGUUAAGUCCCGCAACGAGCGCAACCCUUAUCCUUUGUUGCCAGCGGUUAGGCCGGGAACUCAAAGGAGACUGCCAGUGAUAAACUGGAGGAAGGUGGGGAUGACGUCAAGUCAUCAUGGCCCUUACGACCAGGGCUACACACGUGCUACAAUGGCAUAUACAAAGAGAAGCGACCUCGCGAGAGCAAGCGGACCUCAUAAAGUAUGUCGUAGUCCGGAUUGGAGUCUGCAACUCGACUCCAUGAAGUCGGAAUCGCUAGUAAUCGUAGAUCAGAAUGCUACGGUGAAUACGUUCCCGGGCCUUGUACACACCGCCCGUCACACCAUGGGAGUGGGUUGCAAAAGAAGUAGGUAGCUUAACCUUCGGGAGGGCGCUUACCACUUUGUGAUUCAUGACUGGGGUGAAGUCGUAACAAGGUAACCGUAGGGGAACCUGCGGUUGGAUCACCU
Molecule: ribosomal RNA, 1528 nt
Filed under: Klebsiella pneumoniae
Lineage: Bacteria; Pseudomonadati; Pseudomonadota; Gammaproteobacteria; Enterobacterales; Enterobacteriaceae
Also listed under: 1 other name
Description: bacterial SSU rRNA
Rfam family: Bacterial small subunit ribosomal RNA
Source: RNAcentral